GAAGGGACCCGCGAGCAUUCACCCAACUGUAAAUAGCAAACGAGAGAAGGCUUUAUGAAUUUCUUGACGAGGCACAUGGUGAUCAAUUUUUCAGAACUAUUCCCACCCGCCUAACCAUUUUAGUGAAAAAUAAAAUCUAAGAAUAAGUCAGCCUACAUAACUAUCUAUCUCAUCAACAACAUCAAUUAGGCCUUAAUCCCAAACUUCAUAAACUAUCUAUAUAUAUAUACAAAGUUCAUAAACAUAUUCAUCCUCAAACAAAUUAUGCUCUAAUCCGCCAAGAUGAUUACGCAAUUGAUUCGCAUGGAAAACCCAAACUGUCCUCCAAAAACCACCUUAGCACUACAUGCAACUCAUCUCAUAC
Molecule: unclassified non-coding RNA, 364 nt
Filed under: Hevea brasiliensis (rubber tree)
Lineage: Eukaryota; Viridiplantae; Streptophyta; Magnoliopsida; Malpighiales; Euphorbiaceae
Source: RNAcentral